Molecule: non-coding RNA, 5054 nt
Organism: Pelobates cultripes (western spadefoot toad)
Lineage: Eukaryota; Metazoa; Chordata; Amphibia; Anura; Pelobatidae
Source: the annotation of a GenBank genome assembly
GGUAAAUCUGCUAAUCUGGUGACUCGGUCCCUCUGGUCACUAUUCUCCAACCCUCGAUUGUCAGCUGAAUAUUCAGGGAAGAUUUUUAUGGAAGCGUAUUAACCAGACACACACUUUUUGCUCUCCAUAAUCUUCUGACAAUGUAUUCAAAAUGCUCUGUAUUUAUACAAUAUUUGUCACGAAUAUUGGUUACAAAAGGUUACAAAAAGGUUACAAAAAGGUUACACAAGAUACAUAAAAGAGGAAGCAGUUUCUGCUGUUACAUUCAAUAAUCUAAUCUUACAAAAUAUUACAUAUACAUUGUGGUUAGGCAUUUCCUGAUACAUAGAAACUGUCAUAGCUUGUGACUUCCUUUCAGUUAUGUUUUGCAAGCAGUUCUGAAAUACUGACAGAUUAAUUGUUUAACCCCUUAAGGACCAAAUUUCUGGAAUAAAAGGGAAUCAUGACAUGUCAUGUGUCCUUAAGGGGUCAAUAUUCCUUCAUUUCCCCCUCUUUGAGCAAUAUCUUGCUCAUACCCUAUUUAAGGAGUCCUGGUCAGACAACCAGCCAUUUGCCAUGGUAUAUUCAGGAUUGCUAGCCAAUCCUGCAGGUCUUUCAUUAUGUCUUCGGCCACUAUUCCCAUAGCAUAGGACUAGGCAUCUGACCAGUACCACAAACUUAUAGAUCUGUAUCAGCAUGUUCACCAUUGCUUCGGUUAUGUAUAUACAUUUGGAGAUACUCAUCAUAGCAAGCUGGGGAUUUUACAGGAACAGUGUUGCGUGUAUGUUUGCAAAUGCAGAAUACAAUAAUCUUGAAAAUAGCAUAAACAAGUAGAGCAAGGAUCAGAACCAUAACAAUAAUUAUUGCAAUAUUCUUUAGCCAGUCUAGGAUACUGUCAAACUUAAACAUAUCUGCCCAUGGGUGAUCAAUACCUGAAUUCCUCUUCAUUUCUAUGGACAGGUCUUCUAAUUUCUUUAUAGCUAGGGUUACUUUACCAUUAGGGCCAGUGUUCUCUGGAAUAUAGGUACAACAAACACCGGAGUCAAGUAAUUUACAGACUCCUCCCUUUUCUGCUAAAAUCAUAUCAAGGGCCAUUCUAUUCUGGAAAGUCAUUUGUGAGGUAGCCUGUAAUUGUUCAGCAAGACCUUGUAAUGCAUCUUGUGUAUAAUUUACAAAUCUUUGCUGAUUAUAAUAUAUAUAAUUAAUCCAGUUAACAUUCUUGUUAGCUGUUAUAAUGGGAAAUAUUGAUUCAAAUCCUGCUGCCACCUCGUCUCUAGCUUUAAAUUCAUUAGGAACCCCUCUUGGAAUACCAAUGGCAUCUAGAUAGAUAUGUGGGUCGAAACUACCUUGUGGGGAUCCCCUUUCCUUCUUGUGGAAUCAGUUACAACCUUAAUUUCAGGGAGAGAGUCGCCAAAUAUAUGGAGGGGCAUGAUUAUUUUGGCUGGGGCACAUUCUCCUCUCCAGGGGGUGGGGAGUCUAGAACGUAUUUUCAUAUCUCCACAUAUUCAAUAAACAUCUCCCACAGAUUGUGUUUGAUUCACUAAGGUACAGAAUCCUGAAGAGAAGUUAUCAAAUUGUGUACCCACCUUACCAUUAUUAUUUCCCUGAAAACAAGUAUAAUUACCAGGAUAUACUGGGACAACAUCAUUUAAAUUAAACUUGGGUUCACCAAUAGGGUGACCCUUUUUCCAUUCUUCACAUUCUGUAGUAUUAACAGUGAUACCUGAAAACAAACUUAGGAAACAUUCCCAGUACUCAUCAGGGACAUGUAAGGGUACAGUUCCUAGAUGAGGUCUGGCACUACCACAUACAUAACAGUUUGACCUAUUGUUGGAAUGGGCAUUAUAUCUCAUCCAUUCCAGCCAUAGGUUUGUAUCUGUAUACCCUGUUUCUAACGCUAUGGUAUCUCCAAACGUGGGAUCUGCUAUGGCCAUCAUAUUACCAAGGGUCUGAAUGUGGGGCUUUAGAGGAUUAACAAGAGUUUGUCUAGAGGUGAGGCUUUCCCAUUUUGAGGAGUUCCAUAUAUCUUUUAACUGGAUUUUUCCUCGAUUACCUCCAAUACCUCUUCUUAAAAAGGUACUGAGAAUAUAAAUACCUUGAUCUCCAGGACUGGGGUUUCCAAUAUUUAAGGUAAAUUUCAUGAAGUGCCCAGUUUGCCCUAUAGGGGUACAUGUACCUAGCUUUGUUAGGGUCAUUCUAGUCAAGAGGGACUUCCCAUUCGUAUCCUUUUUAUCUAAUGCAUUCUGUGGCUUAUAACCCCAAUCUGUCCCGGUGUUCCAUCCAACUGAGCCCCAAUAAUUACAAUUGUUACCCCUCUUUGAGCAAUAUAUAUUGCUCAUAUCAUCGGUUAACAUUCUCCCAAGACAGAGAAAUGUCCAGAUUAUGGCAUUCCCAAGCAAUCAUGUGGUCUACAAGAAACAGAAACUCAGCAGAAAAAAAACAAAACAAAAACCACUUAAUACUUUUGCAGACAGAUAUAUAGAAAAUGGAUGUUUAAGACAGAAUGGAACUUGGGCUUAUAGCAACUAUAUUUUUGCACAACCAGGACCUUGCGUCCUAUAUUUUUUAACCAUUUCCCUAUUCCAAAAGUCCAGUCAAAACCAGUCAUAUCCUCACGCAGUUCCUCAAAACAUGGUAAUCCAUCCCUGGCACACUCAACAUAUAUCAAAAACACACAUAGUACAUCCAUCCCUGGGUCAGCUAACACUUCCUCUCUCUCUGGCUAACUCUACAAAAAUAAAAAUAGUUCAAUAGUUCAGCAUAGUUCAGAAAAAUAGAAUAAGUCUUUCACAGAGUAUAAAGAAAUCAGUUUAGACACCAGACAUUUUGUUCCAUAAAAAUGGCUAAGGGUAGCAAUAUGGCUGACAACAAGACAAUGUCAGCUUCCAUAUAGUUCUUAGUUCUUCUUUUGUUUGCUGGAUUUUCACCACAAAGCUCUGUACAACACCCCAAUGGUUGAAAGGGUUAUUACAGAACCAGCGGUAUUAGACAGCACUGCACCUUCAGGACUUUCCAGGUUCUUGCGUGCAAAGUUUAUGUCCUCAUAAAUAAGUAUCUCAGUUUCUUCGGCCUGCAUGGAUAAUGACCAAACAGACGUAAUUGCAAAAUCCUUAUUGCAUGGUCAGCCAGAGAGAUUGGUGUGUAGUCCCAGAAAUCAGGCGGCACAAACACUCCAGGACGGUCUCUACAAACAUACAAACACAAGGAUCAAUACAACAUUAAUUAAUUACCUAGGCUAAAACUUAAAUUAGAGAUUAAGGUUAAACCCUUAAUUUGUGUAACAUGUACUUCUCUUAUAAUUUAUGCAAUCUGUCUUCUAUGAAGUUUUACAUUAUAUCCCUUUGGAAUGCCUUUGUACGGAUGAGAGUAGCACUCACUCUAUAGAAAUCCUUGUUAGGAUGAAUAUUAAAACACUAACAUAUACAUAUGGGGCUAAUUCCCAAUAAAACUCUGUUCCUAAACUGGAACCUUGAUUUGAUAUUCAAAAUUAAUUACUUUAAUACUCGCGAAUAAUUCAAUACUCUUGGAUUAACACCUAAAACUAUAUAAAAUAUUACAAACAUGAACCAUCUGUUUAUUAGGCUGGGGUUGUUGGGUGUGGGUAUAGGUUGGAAGCUAUGGUUGGUAUUGAGGAAUCUGUGGGGGUGGGUUUGGGCACUCAUUUUUCCAGUGACCCUGCUAUCCACAAUUAGAACAGUGUGUUCCACCAAUGCUGAAGUUGUUACCUCUACAAAAGUUAGACCCUUUGACCAAAUCCUCUACCUCUGCCUUUAUUCCAUAUGCAGGAUGGGAUUACCUAACUCACACCCCCCUCUUUGUGUACCACACAGAUAUAAUAUUAAUAAGCUUUUAAAGGCUGAAUGGAUAGUUAAAUUGUGUAUAAAAAGCAAGGUUGUCUAGGGGUAUAUACAUCGACAAUGAAAGCAUAGCCUUCAUAUAGGGCUUGCAAUACUGACAGUCUGUGUCAUGAGCAUAAUGCAGACAUGCGGUUAGGUACUUUUCCAUUAUUAUAAUAUAUUGAAAACACUAAGACCUUGCAAAUUUUUAAAACACAUAUUGCUACCUGUACCUGGUGCCAUGCAAGGAUGUAAUUGGGACAUAUUUCAAAUUGAGUAUCAAAAGUCUAACCAUAAAACUAAAUGUUAUACGCUUAUCAAGAACACAAGUUUAACCCGUUAGUGCGUACUUUGGAUAGCCUCUUUGCAUAAUUUGGCACAUAGUGAGAUUAUUAUAUUAUUUAUUAAUGCUCUUCUGGAUCUGCAAAAUGCUUUCAAUUUACCCAUACAAAUAUAAUACAGUAGUUUAGGAGAUUAAAAUUACCUCACUUAUAAAUUUCAGAAAUUGUCUAAUCUCCAUUAAAAUACCAUUUUAUUAUUACCCCAUAAUCAAGGUGGCAUACUAGAUGAAUCUUACUUUGACACAAACAAUGCAAUAUACUUUAAAAGUAGAGUUAACUCUGAGCUGGACAAUACUCCCCUAUUAGAACUCCUUUAUGAGGGAGAGACAUCUUGUCCAUUCAAUCCUUUUUAUCAGUAAAAGAAUGACUUUCAGGAUUAAUCAGUUUGCAAAUGGAAAUGUGGAGCCACGAUUUGAACAGCAGAAGUUUGCGGGGCCCCUUUCACGUGGGAUGUAACAAGCGCUUUUCUUGCUCCAUGAGCGAUAGCAUACAAUUGUUUCAUUCUAGCCGGCUGGACAGCAUUUCACCUUUUGUAAAAACACUAAAUGCUUGCGUUAAUGAUAUGCAAAUCACUCUGCUAGUUAAACUCCUACACAAUGGACAAUAAAAUACAUAAAACACAUAACACACCAAUUCAUUUCAAACCAUAUAACUCAUACUCAGCAUCCGAUGUAAUAUUACAUGUCAUCAUCUCACAAAACAGACGUAGUAGAUACACGUAUCGGGUACCCAGCAGAUAUGCCAAUAUAGAAAACACAUUCAUGAGCACACAACUACACACUCUGUGUCCCUCCUAGCAAACACGGGUAGACACAAUAUGAAAGCAGUCUUAAACUAACACCUCCAAAUCUCCAUUCCCAUAUAGCUAUAUCAGACCACAACAUAGAGCCUCUCUGAG